Gossypium hirsutum (cotton) is the source of this 635-nucleotide non-coding RNA. NCBI's taxonomy places the organism in Eukaryota, Viridiplantae, Streptophyta, Magnoliopsida, Malvales, Malvaceae. The record is from Rfam.
UAAGCAUUUUGAAAGUUAUUUGAGUUGAGUUAUGAUAGUAUGAAUGCUUUUUUUCUUUCUAUCAAAGAAAAUGACAAUUUCUAUAGGGCAUAGGCCUCCCAAAAGGUAAUGGAGGCAUGCAAAGGUUUCCUCGAGCUGGACAGAGAUUGGCCUCGAGUGCAAAGGCAAAAGGGACCUUGACUACAAGAUCCACUCGUCGAGCAGAGAUGAAAGUUGACCUUCGUGAUCCGACGGUGUUGAGUGCAAGAGUCAUCACUCGACGGAUAAAAGUUACUCUAGGGAUAAUAGGCUGAUCUUCUCCAAGAGCUCACAUCGACGGGAAGGUUUGUCACCUUGAUGUUGUCUCUUCACCACCUGGGGCUAUAGUAUGUCCUAAGGGUUGGAUUAUUCACCCAUUAAAGCAGCACAUGAGCUAGAUUUAAAAUGUUGUGAGAUAGUUCGGUCCAUAUUUGGUGUGGGUGUUAGAGCAUUGAGAGGACCUUUCCCUAGUACAAGAGGAUCGGGAAGGACACACCUCUGGUGUACCAAAAGCUCUUCUCUCCCUCUCUAUCUAACCAUGGGACGGAAGGGCGAAGGCCUUUGGUGUCCAUUCCAAUCAAGAAUUAGGGCCUCAUAAUCACUAGCCAAUAUGUGUU